This is a long non-coding RNA of Gopherus flavomarginatus (Mexican gopher tortoise), 829 nucleotides long. RefSeq lists it as uncharacterized. The transcript is spliced from 3 exons. The record is from RefSeq and is a predicted model, not a curated record. NCBI's taxonomy places the organism in Eukaryota, Metazoa, Chordata, Testudines, Testudinidae.
AAGUAACAAGAUUGUUUGGAAUACAUAGAAACAUUUGAACUGGGUGGGAGUGGUCCUAACUGGAAAAACUUUCCAUUUGACACAGACUGCUGUAGGAUUUUGGGUUCCUGUCUUCAUACCUGAUCAAUAGGAGCCUGGGAGCCUGAGAAGCAACUGGAAAACCACAGAUGCUCCUGUUCACUGUAAAGUAAAGCAGAUGAUGAAACAAUAAAAGGCACCCAACACAAACAGCAAUUCAGCAAAACAGGGAAACAAAGACAACUGAGGAACUGUCUCUGUCCAUAAUAAAGGGAAGAACCAAGGAGAAAGCAAGUGGCCAGACGCUUCUUAUAUUUGUUAAAAUAAUGUACGAAAAUUCACAUUUUCUGCUGUGGCUCUCCCUACAAAAUCCAGGAUCGCAAGGGAGUACUGUGAUUCCUGGCUUGAUAAGCACAACAGCUCCCAGGAGGUGGUGCUCCAGGGUAAGAGAUGGAGGCGAUUGGUGUAGACGUUUUCAAACUACCUUUAAGAGAAAGGAUUCAAUGCAGGAAAAGUUUCACCAGGCUCGUUCCCUUUCCAGCAGCCACUGGCUGCCGCCAGGACUUUCCCAAAGUACAGCAGUUAGUACAUCUCUCUGGUGACCUCAGAAAAAGAACACUAGGAAGAGCAGCUCUGACUGAAGACUAUUACUACCGUGAAGCCUUAUUAUAUGUUGUUGUAGGCUUUUUGUAGCCCUGUUGGUCCCAGGAGAUUAGAGAGACAAGGCGAGUGAGGUAAUAUAUUUUAUUGGACUAACUUCUGCUGGUGAAGGAGACAAACUUGCAAGCAACACAGAGCUCUUCAAUAUGUA